AACGAACGCUGGCGGCAUGCCUAACACAUGCAAGUCGAACGAGACCUUCGGGUCUAGUGGCGCACGGGUGCGUAACGCGUGGGAACCUGCCCUUAGGUUCGGAAUAACUCCCCGAAAGGGGUGCUAAUACCGGAUAAUGUCUUCGGACCAAAGAUUUAUCGCCUUUGGAUGGGCCCGCGUUGGAUUAGCUAGUUGGUAGGGUAAAAGCCUACCAAGGCGACGAUCCAUAGCUGGUCUGAGAGGAUGAUCAGCCACACUGGGACUGAGACACGGCCCAGACGCCUACGGGAGGCAGCAGUGGUGAAUAUUGGACAAUGGGCGAAAGCCUGAACCAGCAAUGCCGCGUGAGUGAUGAAGGCCUUAGGGUUGUAAAGCUCUUUUACCCGGGAUGAUAAUGACAGUACCGGGAGAAUAAGCUCCGGCUAACUCCGU
Molecule: ribosomal RNA, 432 nt
Filed under: uncultured bacterium
Lineage: Bacteria
Description: partial 16S ribosomal RNA
Rfam family: Bacterial small subunit ribosomal RNA
Source: RNAcentral